AACUGGAGGACCGAACCCACUAACGUUGAAAAGUUAGGGGAUGACCUGUGGUUAGGAGUGAAAGGCUAAUCAAACCGGGAGAUAGCUGGUUCUCCCCGAAAUCUAUUUAGGUAGAGCCUCGGACGAAUACUUACGGGGGUAGAGCACUGUUAAGGCUAGGGGGUCAUCCCGACUUACCAACCCUUUGCAAACUCCGAAUACCGUAAAGUACUAUCCGGGAGACACACGGCGGGUGCUAACGUCCGUCGUGAAGAGGGAAACAACCCAGACCGCCAGCUAAGGUCCCAAAGUCAUAGUUAAGUGGGAAACGAUGUGGAAAGGCCCAGACAGCCAGGAGGUUGGCUUAGAAGCAGCCAUCCUUUAAAGAAAGCGUAAUAGCUCACUGGUCGAGUCGGUCUGCGCGGAAGAUGUAACGGGGCUAAACUAUGCACCGAAGCUGCGGAUUCAAAAUUUAUUUUGAGUGGUAGGGGAGCGUUCU
The sequence is a ribosomal RNA, 478 nucleotides long. It matches the Rfam family "Bacterial large subunit ribosomal RNA", at positions 764 to 1242 of the family's 2925-position model.